GGAAGCAAAGGGGUUGAAGUGGGUGAAAGAAAAUGUCCUUUGGGUAAAAAUUAGAGCCAUUUCUGAUGUCUGCGCAGGUGUAAUCUGUUACCCUGAUUAGGGUAACCGGUUACACAGUGCCAAAGUGGCCAAAAAAGCAGUUUUUGGUCUGGGUAAUUGGUUACCAUGAUUAGGGUAACCGGUUACCCAAUUUUUUAUUUUUUAUUUUAUUUUAUUUUAUUUUAUUUUAAUUUUUUUUAAUAAUGAAUGUAUGCAUGUGCAUUAGGGUCAUG
Molecule: long non-coding RNA, 272 nt
Filed under: Lathyrus oleraceus (garden pea)
Lineage: Eukaryota; Viridiplantae; Streptophyta; Magnoliopsida; Fabales; Fabaceae
Description: Pisum sativum (pea) long non-coding RNA (PSAT_LNC024920)
Source: RNAcentral